UCACUACUUGCGUAGGCAGUCUGGCUAGAGUCCCCACCAUUACGUGCUGGCAACAUGGGAUAGGGGUUGCGCUCGUUGCGCCACUUAAGGCAACACCUCACGGCACGAGCUGACGACAGCCAUGCAGCACCUGUGCGGGCCCCCGAAGGGGCACUGUGUUUCCACGGCGUCACCCCGCAUGUCAAGCCCUGGUAAGGUUCUUCGCGUUGCGUCGAAUUGAGCCACAUGCUCCGCCGCUUGUGCGGGUCCCCGUCAAUUCCUUUGAGUUUUAGCCUUGCGGCCGUACUCCCCAGGCGGCGGACUUAAUGCGUUAGCUUCGGCACGGAGCGCGAUGAAGCGCCCCACACCUAGUCCGCACCGUUUACGGCCAGGACUAC
This 377-nucleotide unclassified non-coding RNA is filed under the name uncultured Actinomycetes bacterium. Its description in RNAcentral is "uncultured actinobacterium contains 16S-23S intergenic spacer region". The record is from RNAcentral. Lineage: Bacteria; Bacillati; Actinomycetota; Actinomycetes.